Long non-coding RNA from Bombyx mori (domestic silkworm), 1009 nucleotides. RefSeq lists it as uncharacterized. The transcript has 4 exons. The record is from RefSeq and is a predicted model, not a curated record. NCBI's taxonomy places the organism in Eukaryota, Metazoa, Arthropoda, Insecta, Lepidoptera, Bombycidae.
ACUUUUUAUCGCGUUCCCGUGGGACGUGACAUAAAACGUGGUAUAACAAAACGCAACUGAUAUGGAAUAACAAAACGCAACUGACAGCUAAACGUUCUAUGGUUAAAUAAAGUAAAAUUUUGAAGUUGACCGGUUGAUGUGUUUGAAACAAACCGUGUGGCGGAACAAAGUUCGCCGGGUCCGCUAGUUAUUUAUAAAUUACAACAUAAUUUCUUUCCCUGUAAAUAUAAACUCAUCAUUGUUAAUUACUAACUGUGGAAGACGAUGACACAGAGAACGGUAAUACGAGCGAAAUGAGUAAUAAAAAUAUAUUUUUCUUAAAGCGCUUCCUCGAUAGAUCGCUUGAGGAAUAACUUUACCUAUUCUUCUAUUCACUUUAUCUAUUCACAAGGAACAUCUUAUUGUUUCAUCAUCAUCAUCAAGAAACAUGUGUAUAUGUAUCUACACUCAAGUUCAGCUAAUCAUUCAACACACUUUACAUUAAUUGAUUAAUUACGUUGCUCCAAUCAAAGAGAGUCGCCACACGAAACGCAAUAAGCAAUUGAAAUUGAACGAAUUAUUACAGUAAUAAACGUCACUGAAAUUGUUCAUGAAACUCAAUUAGUCUUUCUUGUUUUUCUCGUAUUUCCCGUUUGGAAAACGAAAUGAUUUUAAAAGCUCUACAUAUCUUCGCACUGCUGCAUCUGAGCACGCAAUGGAAGACAACGGACGACCUACCGAUCCUUGGAGAAUUGGGCUGUGGUAGCUGCGAAAGGGUUUACGCGCCUGUCUGCGCCAGCGACGGGCAGACCUACGUUAACGAAUGCCGUAUGAACUGUAAGAACUCUUUAAGGGAUCCCAAAGAGAGAGUGUUCGUGAAAAGAUACGGUCGCUGCGUACUGCAAAGCAGACGAUUCGUUCGUCUAAGAAAUAAGAAAUACAAAUAAAAUGAUCCUGCAUUGAAUUAAAUAUAAUUAGUCUUAAAAUAUAAGCCAUCUGAUCAUAAAUAUAAAUGUAAUAUAAAUAUAAA